Molecule: ribosomal RNA, 495 nt
Filed under: uncultured bacterium
Lineage: Bacteria
Description: partial 16S ribosomal RNA
Rfam family: Bacterial small subunit ribosomal RNA
Source: RNAcentral
GACGAACGCUGGCGGCGUGCCUAAUACAUGCAAGUAGAACGCUGACGGCGGAGCUUGUUUCUCUGGGGGAGUUGCGAACGGGUGAGUAGCGCGUAGGUUACCUGCCUGGUAGCGGGGGUUAACUAUUGGACACGAUAGCUCAUACCGGAUAAUAGUAGUCGUUGCUUGACAUUUGCUCAACAGGUGAGCUUGCUUCGCUACUAGAUGGUCCUAAGUUGUAUUAGCUAGUUGGUGGGGUAACGGCUCACCAAGGGCACGUUACAUAGGCGACCUGAGAGGGGAAGCGGACACACUGGGACUGAGACACGGCCCAGAAUACUACGGGUGAGAGCAGUAGCGAAUUUUCGGCAAUGGACGGAAUUCGGACCGAGGAACGCCGCGCGAGUGAAGAAGGUAGUCGGGUCGUAAAGCUCUGUUGUAAGAGAGGAUCGAGUAUGAGUGUGGAAAGUUCACACUGUGACGGUACCUUACCAGAAAGGGACGGCUAACUACGUG